CUCCCUCCCGACAAGGAAGCCCCAGCCCACACUGGCAGCUGCCCAAGGGCCUGGGGCGCUCGUGUGCACAGGCCACUAAAGUCACCCAAUGCCAGCCAGCCUUGGUGAAAAUUACCAUUUGCUCAACUGAGAUACUGGGUCCAUGACUCCAAGGGGAGCUCGUUCUGGUUGCUCUGGGUAUAGAGACUCUGAACUGUCCUGCCACGUAAAGAGAACAGUCUCGUUUCUCACACUCUGCGAAAAGACAGGUACGUGGCCCGCUCGCUGCCUUCUCCAGCCUUUGCACAAAGAACUUACAGCUUUUGAGUACAACCCACAGCUUACAGGGUCUUAGAAGCAAAAUUCGUGUUUGGAGCAAUUGUCAGACUGCAGCUUGGCAACACACUUCCUAUGUGCCUUUGCUACUAUUUGAACAACUGCUAUCAGCUGGAAGGGUUAUUCCCUCCUGCCGUUAGGGCAUUGCUUUCCCUGGAUCUAGAACAAGACUGACCAGAUGUGUCUGGAGUUGAUUGCUGCCAUUGGGUUCUUCGUUUCGCUGACCAAAAAUGAAGCCGUGGACCUUCCCGGAACAAAAAGGGUGGAAAAAUUAAGAGGUGGCCUCAGUCCUGUCCACCCUGGGCGAGGUGGUCAGAUCCUGCUGGCGACUGCAGCUGUUUCUCUCAGGAGGAUGAUGAAUACCCUACAGAUGGCAGCUGCUCCUGUUCUCAGGAGCCUGGUCAUUAGGAAGAAAAGGAUAAAAACCCCAAACCUGUUAUCUACUGAGCAAUUCUGAGCUGCUCUGGAAAUUUGAAAGGCACUGGGAAGAAAAGUGUCACCAGUUCUGCUGGGACGGGGCCAGGGUGUGGGUGGGGGAUUCGGGCAGGGCUGGCUGCUCGCUCGCCCCCUCCCUCCCUGGAGGGCCCACUCUGCACUCCUGCCCUUCUUCCAACUUUUCCUCCUUCUUAUUAUCUUCGGAUCUUCCUUCUGUUCCUCUACAGCUGAGCCUUCCUGAGGAGGUAAAGGAGUGUCCCUGGUGCUUGGGCAAAUGGAACCGGUUCAGCCCAUGCUGUCACCACGUGCAGGGCCCUCUCUCAGUGUGACUGGUGUGACAGGAGGAAGAAGGGCAGUGAGCCGUGGCCCAGCUAUUGCAGGGACAGCCAGAGCAGCUUCCUGCAGUGCAAGCCCUGCCUGACGCCCUUCUGCCUUUCUCAUCGGGUCUCAGCUCGUCCUGGCCACACCCGUCCAGGCCUUUUCUGCAGGAAAGGAACUUUUG
RNAcentral lists this long non-coding RNA (1252 nucleotides) under Homo sapiens (human). RNAcentral's name for it is "HSALNT0217930". The record is from RNAcentral. Lineage: Eukaryota; Metazoa; Chordata; Mammalia; Primates; Hominidae.